RNAcentral lists this ribosomal RNA (409 nucleotides) under uncultured Solimonas sp. Its description in RNAcentral is "bacterial SSU rRNA". It matches the Rfam family "Bacterial small subunit ribosomal RNA", at positions 509 to 917 of the family's 1533-position model. Lineage: Bacteria; Pseudomonadati; Pseudomonadota; Gammaproteobacteria; Nevskiales; Nevskiaceae. The record is from RNAcentral.
CAGCAGCCGCGGUAAUACAGAGGGUGCUAGCGUUAAUCGGAUUUACUGGGCGUAAAGCGUGUGUAGGUGGUUGUUCAAGUCAGUUGUGAAAUCCCUGGGCUUAACCUGGGAACUGCUUCUGAGACUGAACGACUAGAGUACGGUAGAGGGUGGUGGAAUUUCCGGUGUAGCGGUGAAAUGCGUAGAUAUCGGAAGGAACAUCAAUGGCGAAGGCAGCCACCUGGGCCUGUACUGACACUGAGACACGAAAGCGUGGGGAUCAAACAGGAUUAGAUACCCUGGUAGUCCACGCCGUAAACGAUGAGAACUUGACGUCGGUUUGCUCUGCAAGUCGGUGUCGUAGCUAACGCGAUAAGUUCUCCGCCUGGGGAGUACGGCCGCAAGGUUGAAACUCAAAGGAAUUGACGGA